AGCAGAAAACAUUGACAAGCCAAAAGAAUUGUUCUGAAAAAAUUAGGUUAUUUAAUUAGCAAAAUCAAACUUUUGUAAAAACUACAUCUGUGAUGUCAAUAACAUUGCUUGUCUGUAUGAGAUGACAUAGUAUUUCUAAGAGUAAAAAGCAUCGUUCAGUCGGAGAAAGUGUUACUAUUGAUAAGGUCACAUUGUACCUGCUAUUUGCACAACAUGCAAAAAGAGUUUCCAGUGAUUCCAUCUGAAGAUGAUAAAUACAGGAGAAAAGAGAACUGUGCAUAUGUAUGAAAACCUUUGCACUCAGUUAAUAUAAAAUCUUCCUACUUUGUACUGCCAGUGGUUAAAAUAACAGUUAUAGAAAAAAGGUAUUUGUCUAAUUGCGUAGAAAUGACAUGUUCAAAUGAUGUUAGGGAGGAUUUGCUACUUGUUAAUGGCAAUGACACAUCAAGAAAGCUAUUACAUGAUAUUGAUAUAUUUUAAAAUGAAUGUAAUAUGAAAGACUAUUGGAUUCUGAUGUCAACUAAUUUUAGUCUAUAAACCUUGUUUAAAAUGUAGAAUCUAGAGGAAGUUUCAAAAUAAUAGAAUAGCAGGAAGAAGUACAAUGAGCUCUCCAUCUCUCCAGGCUGCCACAGGAAAAAAAUUCUCUUUAAAAAAGAUAUACAAAUGCUCCAGACUGAAUCUUUAUCAGGAAAUCCAAGAAGGAAAAUUACAAUGAAUCAUUUUUCCACUUCAGAUUAAUUCAGAGAGAUGCAGAGGGAAGUCAGCUGAUGCUAGGGACAGGAUCUGGGCAGGAGCACAGGAGCAUUCCAUCACAGGGGCACGUGGCAAGCAUUUAAUACAUGUUCCUUGACUUGUUGCCUGGGAGAAACCAUGAACAAGAAGCAAGACAAGGUCCCAGAUCAGCAAAGAGGAUCUUAGGAUCUAUUGUAAGCCAUAGGAAUAAGUGGCAAUUCAGUUGCUUACUUCCCUGGUCCAGGACCCAGAUCCAAGGUGGACAAAUAAUUGUGGGAAAACCAGGCUGCAUAUCGAGCAGAGGACAAAUUUGAAAACAAAUUGUAGCCGUGUGACCCUGACCCCAGGAAAAGAGUAGGGGCUCAGUUCCAGCCUCUAGUCCUGUCUGAAACCUGUAGCAGAACCAGAGCAGGAAUCCUAGACUGAAGGAGAGCAUUCAGUUCUGUCCCACUGAACCAGCAGAGCAUCUCAGCUGGCUAAUAGUGGGUGAAUCCCACAGCAGUCUACUGGAACUCCAAAUAAAUAGACAAGCUCACAGGCCUAUUGCUCAGAUGCAAGCCCACAACAGGAGUUUGCAGAGCUCUGAUGAGGGGAGCAGUGGUCAGACUUUGCUCUGGAUCAGAUCACUUUAGGAUCACUGAAAGCUUUUAGGUCCCCAGUCUGAGCUAUCCUUGAGAUCCUGCCAUAGCAUAACAAUACCCCCCAAGAAAGCAUGACAAAGGUCAACCUAGACAUUUCUUCUAAAAGUGUAGAGCGUCUGGCCCUAACAUCAAGUCACAAGUCAAGAAGAAGCUUGGAAGAAUGAGCAAACAAAAAAGGAAUCUCACUGUAAACAGCUUUUAUGGGGAUAGGGAUGCUUAAGUUUAAAAAGAGAGUUACAAUGAUUUUUUUAAUGAAAAAAGUGUUAGUGGUUAGAAAAAAUGGGAAAAGAAAUGAGAACUACAAAAGAAUGAAUUCGAAAAGGAAUAAAGAGGUUAGUACAAGAGAUAUAAAAACUUACCCAAGCAACAAACUCCCCCCAAAUUAGAAUAGACCAAUCUAGGAAGACUUGGACUCAAAUUCAAAAUGGGAUUCAUGCCUCUGAUGCCUGAGCAAAUAUAGCCUCUUAAUACUUUAAGAAACUCUUAUCACCAAGUUUUUCUACUCCCCCAAGACUUUAGUGUGUGUGUGUGUGUGUGUGUGUGUGUGUGUGUUUCCAAAUGCCUACAGGAACAAUUUUAAACAUUUGUUUUUCAGUCUAAAUUCUUUCCCUCCCUCCUCUCUCUUCCCUGAGGCAAUAUGAUAUGUUAUGCAUGUGCUGUCAUGCAAUAUAUAUUUCAUAUUCAUCAUAUUGUAAUUUCAUUUUUUUCAAUUACAUGUAGAAACAACCUUUGAAAAUUCUUUCUUCUGUCCUAGAAUCUAUCCUAAGUAUUGGUUCCAAGACAGAAGAAUGUUAAGGGCUAAGCAAUUGGGGUUAAGUGAUUUGCCCAGGGGCACACAGCUAGGAAGUGUCUGAGACUGGGUUUGAAUCCAGGACCUUUUGAGUAUCAAUCUGGCUCUCAGCUAUUCCUCAGCAUGAAUUUUUUUUUUAAGUUCAAAAAUCACUGUGUGGGCAUUUAACAAAUAUUUGAUGAAUUUUGUUUUGUUGAAUGCAUGGUAUGUUAGCUCAAUCCGAAGAAAAAUUGUAGCCCUUUGUCCUAUUAGUCUGAAGAGUCCUUUCUCCCCACUCAGAUUCGGAGUUCCUCGAGGGUAGAAGCUCUGUUGUUCGACUCUUGUUGUCCUCUGGCACCUCUCCACAUUCUCUGUUAGAAGUUGCACCUGGCUGCGUGCUCCCCCCACACUGUUGUCACCUAGUAGACAUCUGGGCCUCCUUCUCUUUCAGCGACAGGCUCAGGCUUGCUCUGGGUUCUGAUACCACUCACUGCCCUGGCUUGUGGACACAAGCAUACAGUUAGCCUUGUUGCUGUUCCUGCCUAAAAGUUGGUUCUAUGGUUAUUGAGUUCCCUAAUUGAUGCCCUAAUUCACCCCCUAAUACACACCCACACACCCUGUAACUGGGUUAGAGACUCCUUAAAGAUAAUCUUUCUGCUACUUCUCCUGGAAGUGACCUAAUCCUAAAUCACGAUCAUAAACAAAUUAAAUGAUUUCUGAGAACAAAUUUUCAUAACAGCUAUUUGUUCAACACUCCACUGAUGACAGAGUUUAAUUGAACUUCUGUGGCUGUCACCCACGGUGGACCAUUUCAUUCCACUCUUGGAUCCUAGCUGUUUCAUAGGGUGUGGUAAGAUCUCUUCAAUUGUGACUCCUGUCAUUCAUUUCCUGGUGUCCCGUUUGUGGUUUCUAUGAAACCUUAUUAUGUAGAGAAGAAUAUAUACUUUUUAAACUCUUAGCUUCCAUCUUAGAAUCAGUUCUAUGUAUUGGUUCCAAGGCAGAAGAGUGGUAAAGGCUAGGCAAUGGGGGUCAAGUGACUUGCCCAGAGUCAUACAGCUAGGAAAUGUCAGAUGUUAGAUUUGAACCCAGGCCCUCCUUUCUCUAGUCCUGGCUCUCAAUCCCCUGUUAACAUUUUAACAACUUAGAAUUUUGUAACUGAAAGUGCCAUUUUCCCUCUGGGAAAUACAAAUGAAUUGACAGUGUUUACAGUCGAAUAGAUAGAUAUUUUUUAUUUUUAUUAUUUUUUAAUUUAAUUUAAUUUUUUUAAAAAUUGUUAUAUUUUUGUUUUCCAGUUUGCAUGUAGACACAAUUUUUAGUAAUCAUUUUAACAUGUUUCUGUUCAUGUUUUCUCCUCUCCCAUCCCCCCCUUGCCAAGAUAGUAGGUCAGAUGCAUGUAUAUACAUGUACUAUCAUGCAACACAUAUUUCUAUGUUCAUCAAGUUGUGAAAAAAGACAUGUAGACAUCUAUUCUAUAGAGGAUAAUUAUUGUGAAAACCCCAUUCCUUCCAAAUCUUCAUCCCUUCUAUCACAGGGUAUGAUACGCAUAUAUACACAUGCAUACAUUUGUACAUUGUAAAUUUAAUCAUUAUUAUAAUUUUGAAAUGUUUGUAUGUUGAAUUAUUUAUGCCUAUAUCUUCACUCCUCCCCAUGGAUAGCUGAGAGUAGAUUAAUCAAUCUGCACUUAGGAUCAUGAUAUCACAGAUCUCAAUAUAGAUCUAAAACAUAUACUAAUAAUAGCAUAAUAAACUAAUAAUAAUAAUUAAAAGGAUCUCUGUGUUUUAGAAGUUUGGCUUUAACCCCACCCCCAAUAGAUUCUGAGUUAGAAUUCUUAUUGUAAAAUCAAAUCCUGAGACAAAUAAGCACCUCUAGGAGGCCCUCAAUUUCCCAUUGGAAGAAGAAACCCAGAUCCAUUCUCUUGACACUGGCUAUGCAAUUUGAGGCAGACCUCCCUGGGAAUACUUACAACUAUAUCAAUUAGCUAUUAUCCUGUAAAUGGUAAUUGUUCCUUGCUUUCUUUUGCUUUUAUCCUUCCAAAAUAACCAAAAAGGUCUCUCCCUUUUCUCUCCAAUAAUAACUUAUAGAAAAGUAUUUCUCUGAGGCCAAAACAGCCUUGGCAUCAUAGACAUUACUCUCCACCUCCCCCUUGUUAGCUAAACUUAAAUAGAGAAACUUUCUAAAUGAAUACUCUUAUUCCUCUUAAUUAUUUACUGAACUCAAAAAUCCCAAAGUGAAGGUCUGGAAGUGGAAGUAGCAGGUAACACCUUGCUCCCUGCCAAUCACUAUCCUGGAACCUCUGAAAAAGAGAAAGCAUCUUCAACACACUCCAGAGCUAGGAAUUUCAAUCAUAAAAUUGCAUAUAUGUAUAAACAUAAAAUGACUAUUUUUAAAAAGGGGGAGCUGCGGAGUCAUCUUCAGAGCUGCCAUGCCACUUGCUCCAGUUCAGAUGCUGGAUUGAAGCACCCUAUUCCCAUCUCUAGACUCCUGAAGCCUCUGUGGACUGUAUAGAGUGUCCGUUAUCCAAUCUUUGGACAUACAAGUCUUGAACGUAGACCUUUUCCUCUCUAUGGCAAAUGCCGAGAUCGUUCAUUUGGAGGGGCCUUGGCCACCGAAUGUAGGAAGUCACUUAGAGAGUCCUCAGCUGCAAUGAGUGGUCUUAAUUUAAUAGGUUUCACCUGGAGAUAAAUCAGUUUUUGUUGAAUUCAGCAAAUCAAGUGGCUAGCUUUUAGCCUUUACUCUUGUGAAAAGAGGUCUGCUUGACCCCAAAGUAUUUCUGUAAAUGUUUAACCAGUUUGUCAUUUGCUUUGAGAACAUGUUUUAAUCCUCUUCUAGUUUGACAAGAAAUCUUUUGAUAAGCUUUUCUGUGACUACCUUGCAGCCUUGUGUUUUGUAACCAUUAUACAUUUGUAUCUAGUGUACAUCUUUGGACACAUGAUUAUUACUAUUAUAGGAUAUAUCCACCUCAAAGCCAAAUGAUAUUUUCAUUACUCAGUAUUUUGAAUUAUUUGUGCCUCUAUCUUUACCCUCUCCCUAUGGAUAAUUGAGAGCAGAUUAAUGUUUGCACUUAGGAUCAUGGAAUCACAGAUCUCAAGCCAGAAGGGACCUCAAAAGAAUAUCCAAUUCAGUACCCUCAUUUAAAAGAUGAGGAAACUGAGGCUCAGGGAGUAUAAUGAAUUGCCCAACAUCACACAGGUAGUAUAUAACACAGGCAGGGUCCUCUGAUUCUAAAACCAAUGAUCUUUCCCACACCACCUAUUUACUUUUGGACUUUUUCAUGUUUCCACGUCCAACUUAUCAGACUAUAAAAUUCUUGAGGUCAAAGCUGGUGUCUCCACCAUCACCCCUUUUUAUCAGAGCAGGAAAUCCCCGAAGCUUAAAGGCAAUGUGGGGUAUCAUGGAAAGGAAGCUAAAUUUAGAAUUAGAAGUGCUAGGAUGUAACCACAGACAAAUCAUAUAACAUCUCAGCGCUACAGUUUCCUCCUCUGAAAAAAAAUGAAGGCAUCUAAUUCAAUGCAACAAACUUUCAAGUUCCUAAUUUAAUAAAUGAGACGUUCAUGAGGAGCCAGAGAAGAUGUGAAGAAGUUAAGAUAUGCUGCACUUUGCCCCAUAACAAGAUUGUGAUCACUUUAUGCCUCUAUACAGAGUAGACAAUACAGCAGCUGUUUCUGUCCCUGGAAGUUCAGUAAGAUAGCAUAGAUGGACAGAUAGCAUGUAUUGUGGCGUAUCAUUGCCAAGUCCGUGAGUAAGAUGCAGGCAAAAUGUUAUGUAAUCUGAAGGGAAAAAGGAGUUGGACUAGAUGGUCUAGUCAGGCAGAGUGAUAGAGUUCAAUUUGGAGUCAGAGGACCGGAGUUCAAUUCCCAGCGGUGAUCUUGGUCAAGUCAUUUUGGGCCCGAGUUUAUUGAUCUGUAAAAUGAGAGGGUUGGAGUAGAGUAGAUGGCCUCUGAGGGCCCUUCUAGAACCUCCAGCAGAAACAGCAAGGCGCCCUAAGGAGGAGGCGGGAGCCAGCACCUUGAGGCCAAGCCUCUUGGGAAGAGCAGAACCCCCAACCACCAGAUAAGCCAUAAGCAUCACCAAUGGGGAGAAAUCAUUGUGGAGACGGACCAAGCUUCUUCAUUACCACCAGCAGCAACUGCUGACCGACUGCCACCAAUAGUCAUAAAGGCACAGGAACCCCGAGAAUGGCAGCACCUUCUAGAUGGCCAGUCCUGCUUCCAACCCAGCCUCAUAGCCAUUAUGCAGGGAAGCAACUCCUGUGUCAUGGAGCUACCAGCCAUCUUCACCAACUGUGUAUGGCAAUACAUAGGGCAGCCAAGCCCGCCUGACUGAAGCAGUGAGAGUAGCAUACAGUCAGGAAAGUCAGACUACGACCACAGCCUUGACCCUCCAGCAUCUCCUCUCAGAUCCUGAUGGAGUCAGCCCAGGACCUUGAACCUUGGGGACAGCCAUCAUGCUUGGAAGCAACCCUGUGGAGAUGCAGAACUUCUCUUGUAGGUAAACUGGUUGGAUGAAACCUAGCAGCCAAAAUUCAGGGUGGAAGAUGGAGCUGAAGUUUGGAUCUUUUCUUUGUCCCAAACUCGUCUGACUUAAAAAAAAUUUUUUUUUUCGUAUCACCAGCACUUAGCUUGGCACAUAGAAAUCACUGAUUAAAUACUUGUUGACUGACUAAGAUACAAGUCAUCAUUUCUGGACCCCAAUUUCCUCCUCUGUAAUUAGGGAAUUGGGGCUGGGGAAUUGAUAGCUGAUGGUUUUUCUAGCUCUGUGUUUAGCACUGUGUUUGGUGGACAAUAAAUGCUUAGUAUCAAA
Non-coding RNA from Monodelphis domestica (gray short-tailed opossum), 6942 nucleotides. NCBI's taxonomy places the organism in Eukaryota, Metazoa, Chordata, Mammalia, Didelphimorphia, Didelphidae. The record is from RefSeq and is a predicted model, not a curated record.